GGCGUCAGGGCGCUGCGGCUCGGACAGGUCCUCCACGUGGCCCUGGGCCAGCUGCCCGGAGCUGUUGGCCCCCUGACGCACACGACAUUGGUCACGUUACUACCCGUUAAUCGGUAGGGGGUUUGUUUUCGUUACACUUGCUAGAACCAGUUUGCUAACUGUUAAGCUUACGUCAGCAAAAGUGGGACGACGAUAGCGUGGGUCACUCGGCUGGUGGGCCGUCGCUGUCAUCCUUCUGCUUCUCCAUGAUCAUCAGCAUCAGCAUCUUCCUCAGCGUCAAGUAUCCAGAACCAAACCACCACCAUCAGGACAUAAAUAGGUGACUAAGUCUAAAGGUAACAAACUGUUUGACACAAUACUUUAUUUCUUUUUUAUGUUUUAAUACAUAGCCUACUCAUAAUGUAUAUAUUUCUUUACAGUAGAAAAAUAAUGUUUUGAUUUCAAGGGGCACUACAAUUAUUUUCACUUCCAAGAGGAGGUAUUCAAAAUCAUCUCUGUAAAAUAUAAUAAGUGAGGGUGAAUGGACUAAGUCGGUCAAGAAAACAUUCUUAUAACACCAAUUAUCACUUUCACAAUUUUCUUCAUCAGCACACACAAAGGAACAUGAUAAAUACACUGAAAGAAUACAACAAAGGUACAUUUUAUACACAUCACUGAAGUGAGGAAGAUUAAAUAAAUGUGAAGAAGG
Molecule: long non-coding RNA, 688 nt
Organism: Pseudoliparis swirei
Lineage: Eukaryota; Metazoa; Chordata; Actinopteri; Perciformes; Liparidae
Exons: 2
Source: RefSeq, a predicted model, not a curated record